Long non-coding RNA from Rosa rugosa (rugosa rose), 557 nucleotides. RefSeq lists it as uncharacterized. Lineage: Eukaryota; Viridiplantae; Streptophyta; Magnoliopsida; Rosales; Rosaceae. The record is from RefSeq and is a predicted model, not a curated record. The transcript has 3 exons.
CUCUCUCAGUCUCUCUUCAGAAAAGAAAAAAACUCUCUCGACCUCUCCCAACUCUCUCGAUCUCUCUCGACCUCUCCCAACUCUCUCAAUCUCUCUCGACCCAUCUGCUCCGAUCCCAUCUUCUCUCUCGGCCGAGAGCCUGCGAGGGGUUUCUGAGCUUCAUUGUUGUUCUGGGUUUAUGAGUCUCAUUGGGGCAUCACUCACCCCUAAGAUGGUUGAGGCUUUGGUCUGCAUGAGUGACUGGCUAAAGGGAGGAGGCUUUGAUGCAUACAAGGAGCCCACCAAAGAUGAGAUGGAGCUGUACGCUGUGUUGGAAAAACUUGAAAUUGAUCCAGACGAAGGGAAUUCUGAUGAUGAAGAUUGAAGAAUGGAGGCCGAAGCAAUUUUCCGGCAUGUAAUGUUUUAGACUUUCAGUUUGUUAUUUCCUGUUUGGUUUUAUGUAUGAAACUAUGAACUAUGAAGUUUGAUGGUGUGUAUCGUGUUGAACUGCACUUUGCCUUGUUGGUUUUAAUUUCAGCAGUUUGAAGUUUGAACUUUGCAGAAUUGAUGUUUUCAUG